This 202-nucleotide long non-coding RNA is filed under the name Homo sapiens (human). RNAcentral describes it as "HSALNT0083582". Lineage: Eukaryota; Metazoa; Chordata; Mammalia; Primates; Hominidae. The record is from RNAcentral.
UUCCAUUGACAGUGAAGAUCCUGGUUACUCCUGUAUUGCCACCCCCCGCCCGGUGUGUACGGGAUGGAAGAGGAGACCCACACUGCCGUGGCAUGCAGAGGGCUGCCAAUGCACACAUUUCCUGUGUUCCUCUGAGUGUCACAGUGAGCCCUUGCGGGGGACACUCCCACACUGGGAGAGCAGCCAGGGCCCUGUGUACCCC